UACAGAGGGGGCAAGCGUUGUUCGGAAUUACUGGGCGUAAAGGGUGCGUAGGCGGGUCUUUAAGUCAGGGGUGAAAUCCUGGAGCUCAACUCCAGAACUGCCUUUGAUACUGAGGAUCUUGAGUAUGGGAGAGGUGAGUGGAACUGCGAGUGUAGAGGUGAAAUUCGUAGAUAUUCGCAAGAACACCAGUGGCGAAGGCGGCUCACUGGCCCAUUACUGACGCUGAGGAACGAAAGCUAGGGGAGCAAACGGG
RNAcentral lists this ribosomal RNA (253 nucleotides) under uncultured bacterium. RNAcentral's name for it is "partial 16S ribosomal RNA". It matches the Rfam family "Bacterial small subunit ribosomal RNA", at positions 524 to 776 of the family's 1533-position model. The record is from RNAcentral.